Molecule: long non-coding RNA, 321 nt
Organism: Daphnia pulex (common water flea)
Lineage: Eukaryota; Metazoa; Arthropoda; Branchiopoda; Diplostraca; Daphniidae
Exons: 2
Source: RefSeq, a predicted model, not a curated record
GCAUGAUUUUGAUCACGAACAACAACCCCAACAUUUUGGCCAGCAAAAUUUGGUUCCUGCUGCUCAUCGUGAAAUUGAAUCCCUCCUUUUCACUCAUGGUGCUGCGUUUAGUGAAUUUGAAUGGGAGGCUGGCUUGCUACUUAUGUUGCGACAAAGAUAUUUCCUGACCUACGAGGCCCUGCUCUUUGUUUCUCAGUCCAUCCAUGAGCAUUAUUCAAGAAAUAUGGCCAUCGUUCAGGAAAAAUUUGCUGCCCUAUUUAUAUCUACUGAAGGAACUGGUAGUACCGAGUUUAAAGCAGCUUUCCUGUAAAUCAUUUUUGU